This is a non-coding RNA of Myotis brandtii (Brandt's bat), 74 nucleotides long. Lineage: Eukaryota; Metazoa; Chordata; Mammalia; Chiroptera; Vespertilionidae. The record is from Rfam.
GGAGGUUCUUGGGUGACCACCACAGAAUCACCCUCCCUCCUCUCUGGUUCUGGGUGCGUCACCCAAGAACCACA